RNAcentral lists this ribosomal RNA (501 nucleotides) under uncultured bacterium. RNAcentral describes it as "partial 16S ribosomal RNA". It matches the Rfam family "Bacterial small subunit ribosomal RNA", at positions 30 to 523 of the family's 1533-position model. The record is from RNAcentral.
AUUGAACGCUGGCGGCAUGCCUUACACAUGCAAGUCGAACGGCAGCACGGGUGCUUGCACCUGGUGGCGAGUGGCGAACGGGUGAGUAAUACAUCGGAACGUACCUUAUCGUGGGGGAUAACGCAGCGAAAGUUGCGCUAAUACCGCAUACGCCCUGAGGGGGAAAGCGGGGGACCGUAAGGCCUCGCGCGAUUAGAGCGGCCGAUGUCUGAUUAGCUUGUUGGGGAGGUAAAAGCUCACCAAGGCGAUGAUCAGUAGCUGGUCUGAGAGGACGAUCAGCCACACUGGGGCUGAGACACGGCCCAGACUCCUACGGGAGGCAGCAGUGGGGAAUUUUGGACAAUGGGGGCAACCCUGAUCCAGCAAUGCCGCGUGAGUGAAGAGGGCCUUCGGGUUGUAAAGCUCUUUUGUCAGGGAAGAAACAGCAGCUCUAACACAGACUGCGAAUGACGGUACCUGAAGAAUAAGCACCGGCUAACUACGUGCCAGCCGCCGCAGUAA